This 316-nucleotide ribosomal RNA is filed under the name uncultured gamma-proteobacterium G-1. RNAcentral describes it as "bacterial SSU rRNA". It matches the Rfam family "Bacterial small subunit ribosomal RNA", at positions 19 to 349 of the family's 1533-position model. Lineage: Bacteria; Pseudomonadati; Pseudomonadota; Gammaproteobacteria. The record is from RNAcentral.
NUGNCCCNUAUUGAACGCUGGCGGCAGGCCUAACACAUGCAAGUCGAGCGGGGUUUUCGGACCUAGCGGCGGACGGGUGAGUAAUGCGUAGGAAGCUGCCCGAUAGAGGGGGAUACCAGUUGGAAACGACUGUUAAUACCGCAUAAUGUCUACGGACCAAAGUGUGGGACCUUCGGGCCACAUGCUAUCGGAUGCGCCUACGUGGGAUUAGCUAGUUGGUGAGGUAAUGGCUCACCAAGGCGACGAUCUCUAGCUGGUUUGAGAGGAUGAUCANCCACACUGGAACUGAGGCACGGUCCAGACUCCUACGGGAGGC